Molecule: transfer RNA, 73 nt
Filed under: Arthrobacter sp.
Lineage: Bacteria; Bacillati; Actinomycetota; Actinomycetes; Micrococcales; Micrococcaceae
Also listed under: 1 other name
Description: tRNA-Lys
Rfam family: tRNA
About the family: Transfer RNA (tRNA) molecules are approximately 80 nucleotides in length. Their secondary structure includes four short double-helical elements and three loops (D, anti-codon, and T loops).
Source: RNAcentral
GGGCCUAUAGCUCAGCUGGUAGAGCAUCGGACUUUUAAUCCGCUGGUCGCGGGUUCGACCCCCGCUGGGCCCA